Brienomyrus brachyistius is the source of this 281-nucleotide long non-coding RNA. RefSeq lists it as uncharacterized. The record is from RefSeq and is a predicted model, not a curated record. The transcript has 3 exons. Lineage: Eukaryota; Metazoa; Chordata; Actinopteri; Osteoglossiformes; Mormyridae.
AGGCUCGGAGCAGAGCAGAGGUCGCGUUGUUGCCGCACUUCAUUUGCUUUCCACAAGGGAAAAAAGGAAGAUGGAAAAAAGGACAACAUACAAAAUGUACAGCUGUCGAAUUCACAGCUCAACUAAAGGGUGCGUUUCCACCACACCAGGUCAACCGGGAAAAGCCCUGAACUUACAAGCUAAAAGGAGCCAUAUCGCCACCUAUUGAAGCUGGUGGAUGGUGGAGCGGAUUAAGAAGGUGGAGAGGCCUGCUUCAUCGGCAGUUUGGACCCCCCCCCCCC